UGCUUUAAUAAUCCCAUGAAAGGUCUCUUUUCCUAGCAGUUUUUGCAACCAUGUUCUCCCUCUGCGGGGACUUGAGCUGAAAAGACUAAAGUGGAUAAUGCAUUUGCAAUGAUAAAACUCUCUCUUCUUUUUUCUAAAACUAUCUCUUCUUUUUUCCACCUUUGCCAGACUUGGAUGAUGCAGCAACUGAUGUGGAUGUAGGCUCCUGCUUCUUAGUCCU
Molecule: unclassified non-coding RNA, 220 nt
Filed under: Hevea brasiliensis (rubber tree)
Lineage: Eukaryota; Viridiplantae; Streptophyta; Magnoliopsida; Malpighiales; Euphorbiaceae
Source: RNAcentral